Molecule: long non-coding RNA, 1172 nt
Organism: Panthera uncia (snow leopard)
Lineage: Eukaryota; Metazoa; Chordata; Mammalia; Carnivora; Felidae
Exons: 3
Source: RefSeq, a predicted model, not a curated record
AGGUCAGUGUGAUGGGCACACGGGGUUGAGAAGGGCUGCUCUAAGCUCCCUGCCCCCACCUUCCCUCCCUGAUGCCCAGAACACCCCGUCUUCCUGCCCACCAGACGCACGCCUUCCCUCCUCUGCUCAGUGGCCCUGGCCGGUCGCCCACACAAAGCAUCCGGGCUCUGAAGAGAGAGAUGUGUCUGGGCGUGUGCCGAGCAGGGCAGGCACCGUGUGCUCACAGGGUACUAUUCGCAUCACUGGUCUUCCUGUCCCUCCCCCAGCCUCGUCGGCACUCACUCUACAGUGGCUCGCCCACAUUUCCACUGCCGCCUCUUGUUCCUGAAUAUGAUGCCAGCGUGUCAUCGUUGGCCCGCGUCCUGACAUGUGCUCCUUCUCUCUGUGGCCUACGGAGCUGGCUUGCGCUCGGUGGUUCCCAAGCCUACAGGCCACUGGAAGUGAGCUCCAAAAAUACAGAUUCCCCGGCCCCGGCCCUAGAGGUGCUGAGAUGACCGGACCUGGGAAUCAAACUUUUUAAAAGCUCCCUGUCUGACUCGGAUAUCAGCUGGCUUGGGAACGGCUGCCUUAGAUCAGUGGUUUCCAAACAUUUCUUUUCACCUCUAAAAUCUUACCCAGCAGUACAGUAGCUCAAGAGAUAAAAGCGGAACUGGUUUGGAUGAAGAGGAGUUGAGGCUCCAGAGCUCAGGCUUCUUCUCACCUCCAGAGUCUCUGGUGCCUCCCAAGAGCCUUCCUGCCCUAUGGAACCCUAUUUGAAAACCAGUACCUACCUCAGUGUGGUGCCAAGGUGUCCUGCUCCCCACCCCUCCCAUGCAGUUCUCCGCAGCGGACGCGAGGUGGCGGUGUGAGGACAGGGACGGGGAGAGGAGCGUUACCGAGCCACCAGGAAGAGGACGCAGCUGACGGCCAGAUAGGCUAGAAGCAUGAAGAGCCAGACGCCUGGAGAAAAUGGGUCCAGGAAGGAGAAAUAGCCAGAUGGAAGAACUGAGACCCGGGGAGGUUAAGUGCCUUGCUCAAAUCAGUGGCGAUGCCUUCCAUUUCUCCGGUGCUCGUUCGUCAAGCUGCGCCAUAGAGAUGCCACUUCUCUUUCGUUCAGAUGGCAGCUGUACCGCGUCUCCCUCUUCCUCCUUUAUCUUUGCAACUUGCUCCAAUAAACUCCCUAAUUAAUCUCA